Xyrichtys novacula (pearly razorfish) is the source of this 2930-nucleotide non-coding RNA. Lineage: Eukaryota; Metazoa; Chordata; Actinopteri; Labriformes; Labridae. The record is from the annotation of a GenBank genome assembly.
AGGCUUAAGGUUUGGGGUUUGCAUUAAUAGGUUGAUGGACAAGUGGACACACUGUAGCUGUUACACCCCAUGGCUCCUUAGCUGUUUCCAUGUCUGCUGAGAGUUAGGAUGAGUCAGCCUAUUUGGCAAACGCCAACCAUUGGCUUCAACACUCUUCUUCAGAAACCAAUGUUUGAUGCCAGUGAGACUAGGCUCAUGUGUUAUAUAGGCCAUGUUUUCUGCCAGCUGAAGAUAUUUGAUCAAAAAUAAGUAUUUAAAACAAACAAAAUGAUUAUGUUGCUGACAUAUGGCCUGGAAAACAUGCAUUUCUACCACUGCUAAAGAGGCCUGUUGUUACCAGUUAGACGGGGGAGGGAGAUGGAAAUUUAUACUUGUCAGGUCAUGGAAGGGAAAUUCCUAUUUUCCUACACCCUCACUUCCUUAUGGUUCACAGCUCAUCAGUACAGCUAAAGGAAAGAGCAGGUAAAGGUUCAACUGUGAGGGUUUUGUGUUUGAAGUUUAAGGACCUCACCGCCACACUGACACUUAAAGUCAAAGUGUACAUUUUGUCAAGGGGAAGAUGGUAACAAGGUUUUAUGAGUUUGGGUACAACACAGUCAGCUCUAAAGUGGAAGUUCACAUUGUAUUUGAUUUCAUAUUUUGACUCAAAAAGAAACCAGGUUUCAAAUUUAGUCAGUCCCCCGUGACUUUGCUAUUUUACACCCACAUGUAAAAAAAGGGGUUUUUACAGAUUUAUGAAAUACCGUUGAGUUUCAUUUGUUCAUUCCACUCGAGCUAAAUCACGGAAAACUUCACAUAAAAAGUAAACAACCUCCUGACAGGGCCGGUAUGCAAAGACAUUCAUGCAGACAAACAGAGGUACACACCUGCUCUGAAGGUGUGUGCGUGACAGGCUUUGCGUGAGUAGAAACUAACAACCUUCACAGUCAUUACACCUGCUUUUAUGUCCAAGAAUUCUCUAAGAGGUACAUGGCUGUGGGCAAAACAUUUCUCAGCCUUUUUUUCCUUCCUCUCCAGCUCUGUGAAAUGGACAAACUAACCUCACACACUUUCACCCCGAGCUCUACAACCUGACACGACCUGCCUCUGCUCCCACUGUGGUCAGCUGUUACAGUAGCUCUGCUCUUCCCUUCCUCUAGUAGCCAGUAAGCUCUUUAAUCUUUUUAAGAAGUUAGGAGACUCUCCCCGCUGACUCACAUCCAGGCUCUUGCAUCUGUCCUCCUGUGCUCCCCCAGUUUUCCCCUGACUGCUCUUUUUUUUCCCCUCCAGGAGCAGCUGCUUGUCAGGUUUGAUAUCUAGAAAGCGAGCCUGCCUGUUGAGAGCUAAAAAGUGUCUAAAAUGGGACUCUGAAGGUUGAGGCAGAACAGUUCUCCAUCCAGCUGUGUGACAUUUCAAGUUUUUUGUCGCCAGCUGUGGGUGCUGCUCACCUGUUAUGAUCUGACACACACACUCCAGCAGCCUGAGCGCUCUCACCUCAGGCAGUCCACAGGCACAGUCAGACGCUUACCUUUAAUCAGAUUCAGUUUCAUCUGAGGGGAACACCAUCACACUUACAACUGAAGCACGGAUCAUAUUCACUUUGAUCGCUGGAUAAUACACACAGUAACAGGAGAGGCUUUGAGAAAACGCUCAGGAGUUUAAAGUAACUGCGAUUCAUGAAACAAGACAAGUUCUUCUCCUGUUGUGGUUUUAUAAUUGGAACUGAGCUCUUUAGUGUUACUUUAUUAUGUUUUUUCUUUUCCCGUCAGUGCAAACAAACCUUAAAACCAGAGCAAUGUUAGUUACAGCUACAUAGGCAGUGAUGUUUUUCAGGUACUAUGGGAUGUUAUUGGCUGUUUCUUCUCUCUUUCACAGGUAUUUCUGUGGUUAUACACACUCGUUUUCGUUCUUGGAUCCUGUAAAGUAUCAAAUUUCAAUCCCAUGUGAGCUUACUAUUAUUGUCUUAUAAUGGGAGAUGCAUAACUUUCCCUGUUUGCAAAUCAAUUAAUCUGCUUAAAUCGAGCAUCCUAUCCCUGACACUUGCCCAAAUUCUCCCUGGCUUCACUCUCAGACCCGCUGCGUGACAGGGAGGGCGCCCAGUUCACCUUGUGUUAUAAGUUCCACUUUUCAUAACUUGUUUUGUCCGUUCUGUGGGUUCUCGCCUGUGUGGCACAGCCCCACUGUGUUGCAUGACUGCGAUGAAUGAAGCCUGAGUGGCAGAUUGCAUGACUCCAAAGCCCCAAGAUCCUCGCAUUUACAGAAGCUAUAGCGCGCAAAUAUGUGCACCUUCGUGCCCAGCAGGGGAAAAAAAGAGAGUCUCGCGUCCUCCGCUCUUUGUUCUGGGAGUUUAAGACCCUUGUGUCUUUUCCAGAGGCUGCUGCCUUCGCGUGACUUGACCAAGCAGAUUUAGGAUUGUCCAGAAGACCGAGACCCUCCCCUCUGGACGCCAGCUUCGCUUCUCACGCAACUUGCAGCACCAGAGGCGCAGCCUCGAGGCGCACGGUGAGAGUCCCCGGAGAGUCAACACUCAGCCCCGGAGCAGCAAUACGGCGCUGGGCCGGGCGGAUGUCUCAACAGGCAGAAGUAUCGGCCGGACUUUUUCUGAACUCCUGACCACACAUGACUGCUCCUGGGUCGCAUUCCAAUAUGGCUUUAGUGAGGAAUCUAAACUUUGUUAUUUCCAAACACAAACAGGUCACAUCAUGCGUGAGUUUAUAGUAGACCAGUGCCGGUAACUUCAACCCUGACGUGCAGUUAUGCACGCCAGUGGUUUUUAUGGCCAAGAAAAUAAAUCUUGAAUUCACUUUGAAAUCAUUUGUUGACAUGAUUUCAUGUCUGAUCCUUAUUCAUCCAUGAUCCCCCCCAAAAAGGAAAAAACGACCGAGUGUUGGCGCCAUAGUAGAUGUUAUAAAUACAUGUGACAGCCUUCAAUAAAUGUUAUUAAAAGUUAA